AUUGAACGCUGGCGGCAUGCCUUACACAUGCAAGUCGAACGGCAGCACGGGGUGCAACCCUGGUGGCGAGUGGCGAACGGGUGAGUAAUACAUCGGAACGUGCCCAGUCGUGGGGGAUAACGUAGCGAAAGUUACGCUAAUACCGCAUACGAUCUCUGGAUGAAAGCGGGGGACCGCAAGGCCUCGCGCGAUUGGAGCGGCCGAUGGCAGAUUAGGUAGUUGGUGGGGUAAAAGCUUACCAAGCCUCCGAUCUGUAGCUGGUCUGAGAGGACGAUCAGCCACACUGGGACUGAGACACGGCCCAGACUCCUACGGGAGGCAGCAGUGGGGAAUUUUGGACAAUGGGCGAAAGCCUGAUCCAGCAAUGCCGCGUGCAGGACGAAGGCCUUCGGGUUGUAAACUGCUUUUGUACGGAGCGAAACGGCUCCCACUAAUACUGGGGGCUAAUGACGGUACCGUAAGAAUAAGCACCGGCUAACUACGUGCCAGCAGCCGCCGUAA
RNAcentral lists this ribosomal RNA (501 nucleotides) under uncultured bacterium. RNAcentral's name for it is "partial 16S ribosomal RNA". It matches the Rfam family "Bacterial small subunit ribosomal RNA", at positions 30 to 523 of the family's 1533-position model. The record is from RNAcentral.